Peromyscus maniculatus bairdii (prairie deer mouse) is the source of this 416-nucleotide non-coding RNA. The record is from RefSeq and is a predicted model, not a curated record. Lineage: Eukaryota; Metazoa; Chordata; Mammalia; Rodentia; Cricetidae.
GAUGACUCUGGUGAUAGUUAAAGGGAGAUCUGGAACUAGAGGAGGAUCCUGACAUAAAAUAGCAGUCCUCGGAAAAAAAAGGAUUAAACCCUGUUACUUAUCACACAUGGAUGGAAAUUAAUGAUACUGUUCAGUGAAAUGAUACAGAAAGAAGACAAAUGUCUCUGGAUCUCCCUGAUAUCUGGAAUUCAAGAAAAUUGACCUCGCAGAAGUUGAGAGUGGAACAGCAGCCUCCAGGGACUGGAAGAAUAAACAUGCAGGAGGCCUGGGAAAACAUGGUCACUGACUUACAGUUAAGAAGCAGUUUUCGGUGUGAGUCUCCUGUCACCUGGAUAGGAUGGACAUCCGUAAGCCCACAUAACAUGGAGGUGAUGAAUGGAACCGCUAAAUAAAAUAAUGAAAGCUUUUUAUUCAUA